Molecule: ribosomal RNA, 821 nt
Filed under: Arthrobacter sp. PCA1-6_Pa
Lineage: Bacteria; Bacillati; Actinomycetota; Actinomycetes; Micrococcales; Micrococcaceae
Description: bacterial SSU rRNA
Rfam family: Bacterial small subunit ribosomal RNA
Source: RNAcentral
GCAGUCGAACGAUGAUCCCAGCUUGCUGGGGGAUUAGUGGCGAACGGGUGAGUAACACGUGAGUAACCUGCCCUUGACUCUGGGAUAAGCCUGGGAAACUGGGUCUAAUACCGGAUAUGACCAUUCCACGCAUGUGGUGGUGGUGGAAAGCUUUUGUGGUUUUGGAUGGACUCGCGGCCUAUCAGCUUGUUGGUGGGGUAAUGGCCUACCAAGGCGACGACGGGUAGCCGGCCUGAGAGGGUGACCGGCCACACUGGGACUGAGACACGGCCCAGACUCCUACGGGAGGCAGCAGUGGGGAAUAUUGCACAAUGGGCGCAAGCCUGAUGCAGCGACGCCGCGUGAGGGAUGACGGCCUUCGGGUUGUAAACCUCUUUCAGUAGGGAAGAAGCGAAAGUGACGGUACCUGCAGAAGAAGCGCCGGCUAACUACGUGCCAGCAGCCGCGGUAAUACGUAGGGCGCAAGCGUUAUCCGGAAUUAUUGGGCGUAAAGAGCUCGUAGGCGGUUUGUCGCGUCUGCUGUGAAAGACCGGGGCUCAACUCCGGUUCUGCAGUGGGUACGGGCAGACUAGAGUGCAGUAGGGGAGACUGGAAUUCCUGGUGUAGCGGUGAAAUGCGCAGAUAUCAGGAGGAACACCGAUGGCGAAGGCAGGUCUCUGGGCUGUAACUGACGCUGAGGAGCGAAAGCAUGGGGAGCGAACAGGAUUAGAUACCCUGGUAGUCCAUGCCGUAAACGUUGGGCACUAGGUGUGGGGGACAUUCCACGUUUUCCGCGCCGUAGCUAACGCAUUAAGUGCCCCGCCUGGGGAGUACGGCCGCAA